GUUACUGCUAUCGGAGUUCGAUUAAGCCAUGCAAGUCUAAAGGUUUCUUCGGAAACCUUGGCGGACUGCUCAGUAACACGUGGAUAACCUACCCUUGGGACUGGAAUAACCCCGGGAAACUGGGGAUAAUACCGGAUAGAUCAGGGAUGCUGGAAUGCACCUUGAUCCAAAGCUCCGGCGCCCAAGGAUGGGUCUGCGGCCUAUCAGGUAGUAGUGGGUGUAACGUACCUACUAGCCAACGACGGGUACGGGUUGUGAGAGCAAGAGCCCGGAGAUGGAUUCUGAGACACGAAUCCAGGCCCUACGGGGUGCAGCAGGCGCGAAACCUUUACAAUGUGCGAAAGCAUGAUAAGGGAACUCCGAGUGCCAGUAUCUAAUAUUGGCUGUCCUUGUGCCUAAAACGCACAAGAUAGCAAGGGCCGGGUAAGACCGGUGCCAGCCGCCGCGGUAACACCGGCGGCCCGAGUGGUAGCCGCUAUUAUUGGGUCUAAAGGGUCCGUAGCCGAUUCGAUAAGUCCUCUGGGAAAUCUGGUUGCUUAACAAUCAGACUGCCAAGGGAUACUGUCGAACUUGAGACCGGGAGAGGUAAGAGGUACUUCAGGGGUAGGAGUGAAAUCUUGUAAUCCCUGGGGGACCAUCUGUGGCGAAGGCGUCUUACCAGAACGGGUCUGACGGUGAGGGACGAAAGCUGGGGGCGCAAACCGGAUUAGAUACCCGGGUAGUCCCAGCCGUAAACGAUGCUCGCUAUGUGUCAGGUACGGUGUGACCGUAUCUGGUGCCGUAGGGAAGCCGUGAAGCGAGCCACCUGGGAAGUACGGUCGCAAGACUGAAACUUAAAGGAAUUGGCGGGGGAGCACUACAACGGGUGGAGCCUGCGGUUU
Molecule: ribosomal RNA, 881 nt
Filed under: uncultured archaeon
Lineage: Archaea
Description: bacterial SSU rRNA
Rfam family: Archaeal small subunit ribosomal RNA
Source: RNAcentral